This 647-nucleotide ribosomal RNA is filed under the name Claviceps tenuispora. RNAcentral's name for it is "eukaryotic LSU rRNA". It matches the Rfam family "Eukaryotic large subunit ribosomal RNA", at positions 1 to 669 of the family's 3401-position model. Lineage: Eukaryota; Fungi; Ascomycota; Sordariomycetes; Hypocreales; Clavicipitaceae. The record is from RNAcentral.
UUGACCUCGAAUCAGGUAGGAAUACCCGCUGAACUUAAGCAUAUCAAUAAGCGGAGGAAAAGAAACCAACAGGGAUUGCCCCAGUAACGGCGAGUGAAGCGGCAACAGCUCAAAUUUGAAAUCUGGCCCCCCGGGGCCCGAGUUGUAAUUUGCAGAGGAUGCUUUUGGCGAGGCGCCUUCCGAGUUCCCUGGAACGGGACGCCAUAGAGGGUGAGAGCCCCGUCUGGUCGGACGCCGAGCCUCUGUAAAGCUCCUUCGACGAGUCGAGUAGUUUGGGAAUGCUGCUCUAAAUGGGAGGUAUAUGUCUUCUAAAGCUAAAUACCGGCCAGAGACCGAUAGCGCACAAGUAGAGUGAUCGAAAGAUGAAAAGCACUUUGAAAAGAGGGUUAAAUAGUACGUGAAAUUGUUGAAAGGGAAGCGCUUGUGACCAGACUUGGGCCCGGCGGAUCAUCCAGCGUUCUCGCUGGUGCACUCCGGCGGGCCCAGGCCAGCAUCAGCUCGUCCCGGGGGACAAAGGCGGGGGGAACGUGGCUCCUCCGGGAGUGUUAUAGCCCACCGCGCAAUGCCCUGGGGCGGGCUGAGGACCGCGCAUCUGCAUGGAUGCUGGCGUAAUGGUCAUCAGCGACCCGUCUUGAAACACGGACCAA